RNAcentral lists this ribosomal RNA (404 nucleotides) under Actinomycetes bacterium. Its description in RNAcentral is "Actinobacteria bacterium partial 16S ribosomal RNA". It matches the Rfam family "Bacterial small subunit ribosomal RNA", at positions 355 to 776 of the family's 1533-position model. The record is from RNAcentral. Lineage: Bacteria; Bacillati; Actinomycetota; Actinomycetes.
UGGGGAAUAUUGGACAAUGGGCGCAAGCCUGAUCCAGCCAUGCCGCGUGAGUGAUGAAGGCCCUAGGGUUGUAAAGCUCUUUCACCGGUGAAGAUAAUGAUGGUAACCGGAGAAGAAGCGCCGGCUAACUUCGUGCCAGCAGCCGCGGUAAUACGAAGGGGGCUAGCGUUGUUCGGAUUUACUGGGCGUAAAGCGGACGUAGGCGGACGAUUAAGUCAGGGGUGAAAUCCCGGGGCUCAACCCCGGAACUGCCUUUGAUACUGGUAGUCUUGAGUACGGGAGAGGUGGGUGGAAUUCCGAGUGUAGAAGUGAAAUUCGUAGAUAUUCGGAGGAACACCAGUGGCGAAGGCGGCUCACUGGCUGGAUACUGACGCUGAGGUGCGAAAGCGUGGGGAGCAAACAGG